UUUUUUUUUUGAGCCAUCGGUAUAGAUCCCAGCCUUAUAACAGAGCGACACUCAAUACUACUCCCCACUGUCUGAAUCGGGAAAGGCACGAGCAGAAUGGCUCGAGUAAGCUGACUUCCAAGUAUGACCUAACUUUCCUGUUUAAUUUCCCACAACACAGAGUGAUAGUGUUGAGAGAACAGCAUAUAUCUAUCGUUCUUUUUCUUCUCUGUCAUUGAUGAUACCGUACC
RNAcentral lists this long non-coding RNA (230 nucleotides) under Sorghum bicolor (sorghum). RNAcentral's name for it is "long non-coding RNA (SBIC_LNC006148)". The record is from RNAcentral. Lineage: Eukaryota; Viridiplantae; Streptophyta; Magnoliopsida; Poales; Poaceae.